RNAcentral lists this non-coding RNA (27 nucleotides) under Homo sapiens (human). Lineage: Eukaryota; Metazoa; Chordata; Mammalia; Primates; Hominidae. The record is from RNAcentral.
AGGUCUAGCAUGGGGCUUGUUUUCCAC